Molecule: transfer RNA, 85 nt
Filed under: Felis catus (domestic cat)
Lineage: Eukaryota; Metazoa; Chordata; Mammalia; Carnivora; Felidae
Also listed under: 1 other name
Rfam family: tRNA
About the family: Transfer RNA (tRNA) molecules are approximately 80 nucleotides in length.
Source: Rfam by way of RNAcentral
GCCUGGGUGGCUUAGUUGGUUAAGCGUCUGACUUCAGCUCAGGUCAUGAUCUCACUGUUUGUGAGUUCGAGCCCCACGUUGGGUU